Molecule: ribosomal RNA, 465 nt
Filed under: Vreelandella stevensii
Lineage: Bacteria; Pseudomonadati; Pseudomonadota; Gammaproteobacteria; Oceanospirillales; Halomonadaceae
Description: partial 16S ribosomal RNA
Rfam family: Bacterial small subunit ribosomal RNA
Source: RNAcentral
CCUACGGGUGGCAGCAGUGGGGAAUAUUGGACAAUGGGCGAAAGCCUGAUCCAGCCAUGCCGCGUGUGUGAAGAAGGCCUUCGGGUUGUAAAGCACUUUCAGUGGGGAAGAAAGCCUUGGGGCUAAUACCCUCGAGGAAGGACAUCACCCACAGAAGAAGCACCGGCUAACUCCGUGCCAGCAGCCGCGGUAAUACGGAGGGUGCGAGCGUUAAUCGGAAUUACUGGGCGUAAAGCGCGCGUAGGCGGUCUGAUAAGCCGGUUGUGAAAGCCCCGGGCUCAACCUGGGAACGGCAUCCGGAACUGUCAGGCUAGAGUACAGGAGAGGAAGGUAGAAUUCCAGGUGUAGCGGUGAAAUGCGUAGAGAUCGGGAGGAAUACCAGUGGCGAAGGCAGCCUUCUGGACUGACACUGACGCUGAGGUGCGAAAGCGUGGGUAGCAAACAGGAUUAGAUACCCGAGUAGUC